UCACGAAGAACUCCAAUUGNGAAGGCAGCUUACUAGGCUACAACUGACGCUGAAGCACGAAAGCGUGGGGAUCAAACAGGAUUAGAUANNNGGUAGNCCACGCAGUAAACGAUGAUAACUAGCUGUUUGCGAUACACAGUAAGCGGCACAGCGAAAGCGUUAAGUUAUCCACCUGGGGAGUACGCCGGCAACGGUGAAACUCAAAGGAAUUGACGGGGGCCCGCACAAGCGGAGGAACAUGUGGUUUAAUUCGAUGAUACGCGAGGAACCUUACCCGGGCUUGAACGUAGGGAGACAGUUCUGGAAACAGAAUCUCUAGCAAUAGCUGCCUACGAGGUGCUGCAUGGUUGUCGUCAGCUCGUGCCGUGAGGUGUCGGCUUAAGUGCCAUAACGAGCGCAACCCACAUCGAUAGUUACUAACAGGUUAAGCUGAGGACUCUAUCGAGACUGCCAGCGUAAGCUGUGAGGAAGGUGUGGAUGACGUCAAAUCAGCACGGCCCUUACGUCCGGGGCGACACACGUGUUACAAUGGGAGGUACAAAGGGCAGCUACCUGGCGACAGGAUGCUAAUCUCUAAAACCUUUCUCAGUUCGGAUUGGAGUCUGCAACCCGACUCCAUGAAGCUGGAUUCGCUAGUAAUCGCGCAUCAGCCACGGCGCGGUGAAUACGUUCCCGGGCCUUGUACACACCGCCCGUCAAGCCAUGGGAGCCGGGGGGACCUGAAGUAUGCAACCGUAAGGAGCGUCCUAGGGUAAAACUGGUGACUGGGGCU
RNAcentral lists this ribosomal RNA (772 nucleotides) under uncultured prokaryote. RNAcentral's name for it is "bacterial SSU rRNA". It matches the Rfam family "Bacterial small subunit ribosomal RNA", at positions 697 to 1482 of the family's 1533-position model. The record is from RNAcentral.